This 301-nucleotide ribosomal RNA is filed under the name uncultured bacterium. RNAcentral describes it as "partial 16S ribosomal RNA". It matches the Rfam family "Bacterial small subunit ribosomal RNA", at positions 509 to 807 of the family's 1533-position model. The record is from RNAcentral.
CAGUCGCCGCGGGAAUACGAAGGGGGCUAGCGUUGUUCGGAAUUACUGGGCGUAAAGCGCACGUAGGCGGAUAUUUAAGUCAGGGGUGAAAUCCCAGAGCUCAACUCUGGAACUGCCUUUGAUACUGGGUAUCUUGAGUAUGGAAGAGGUGAGUGGAAUUCCGAGUGUAGAGGUGAAAUUCGUAGAUAUUCGGAGGAACACCAGUGGCGAAGGCGGCUCACUGGUCCAUUACUGACGCUGAGGUGCGAAAGCGUGGGGAGCAAACAGGAUUAGAUACCCGAGUAGUCCCUGUCUCUUAUAC